Molecule: ribosomal RNA, 433 nt
Filed under: uncultured bacterium
Lineage: Bacteria
Description: partial 16S ribosomal RNA
Rfam family: Bacterial small subunit ribosomal RNA
Source: RNAcentral
AUCGAACGCUGGCGGCAGGCCUAACACAUGCAAGUCGAACGAACUCUUCGGAGUUAGUGGCGGACGGGUGAGUAACACGUGGGAACGUGCCUUUUGGUUCGGAAGAACUCAGGGAAACUUGUGCUAAUACCGAAUGUGCCCUUCGGGGGAAAGAUUUAUCGCCAUUAGAGCGGCCCGCGUCUGAUUAGCUAGUUGGUGAGGUAACGGCUCACCAAGGCGACGAUCAGUAGCUGGUCUGAGAGGAUGACCAGCCACACUGGGACUGAGACACGGCCCAGACUCCUACGGGAGGCAGCAGUGGGGAAUCUUGCGCAAUGGGCGAAAGCCUGACGCAGCCAUGCCGCGUGAAUGAUGAAGGUCUUAGGAUUGUAAAAUUCUUUCACCGGGGACGAUAAUGACGGUACCCGGAGAAGAAGCCCCGGCUAACUUCGUG